Molecule: ribosomal RNA, 202 nt
Filed under: uncultured bacterium
Lineage: Bacteria
Description: partial 16S ribosomal RNA
Rfam family: Bacterial small subunit ribosomal RNA
Source: RNAcentral
ACGCUCGACACCUACAGGAGGCAGCAGUGGGGAAUAUUGCACAAUGGGGGAAACCCUGAUGCAGCGACGCCGCGUGAGCGAAGAAGUAUUUCGGUAUGUAAAGCUCUAUCAGCAGGGAAGAAACUGACGGUACCUGACUAAGAAGCACCGGCUAAAUACGUGCCAGCAGCCGCGGUAAUCUGAGGCGGGCGUGGACGAAGGC